UACAGAGGUGGCAAGCGUUGUUCGGAAUUACUGGGCGUAAAGGGCGCGUAGGCGGCCUUCUAAGUCAGACGUGAAAUCCCCGGGCUUAACCUGGGAACUGCAUUUGUGACUGCAUAGCUAGAGUACGGCAGAGGGGGAUGGAAUUCCGCGUGUAGCAGUGAAAUGCGUAGAUAUGCGGAGGAACACCGAUGGCGAAGGCAAUCCCCUGGGCCUGUACUGACGCUCAUGCACGAAAGCGUGGGGAGCAAACAGG
This 253-nucleotide ribosomal RNA is filed under the name uncultured bacterium. RNAcentral describes it as "partial 16S ribosomal RNA". It matches the Rfam family "Bacterial small subunit ribosomal RNA", at positions 524 to 776 of the family's 1533-position model. The record is from RNAcentral.